AACUUAUAUUUAUGUUCCUGUUUAUGAGAAGACUUCUCCUGACAUCCACCAGAAGAAAGAAACUAAUCAGCACAUUUGGGAUUGAACAGACAAACCAACAUUACACACUUGUGUUGGACAAACUGAAA
Molecule: long non-coding RNA, 128 nt
Organism: Sphaeramia orbicularis (orbiculate cardinalfish)
Lineage: Eukaryota; Metazoa; Chordata; Actinopteri; Kurtiformes; Apogonidae
Exons: 3
Source: RefSeq, a predicted model, not a curated record